Molecule: ribosomal RNA, 442 nt
Filed under: bacterium CPTAC108
Lineage: Bacteria
Description: bacterial SSU rRNA
Rfam family: Bacterial small subunit ribosomal RNA
Source: RNAcentral
UGUGAACGCGAAAGACCCUUACCCUACCCUUGACAUGUACGGAACCCUGCUGAGAGGUGGGGGUGCCCGAAAGGGAGCCGUAACACAGGUGCUGCAUGGCUGUCGUCAGCUCGUGUCGUGAGAUGUUGGGUUAAGUCCCGCAACGAGCGCAACCCUUGUCCCUAGUUGCUACGCAAGAGCACUCCAGGGAGACUGCCGGUGACAAACCGGAGGAAGGUGGGGAUGACGUCAAGUCCUCAUGGCCCUUAUGGGUAGGGCUUCACACGUCAUACAAUGGUCGGAACAGAAGGGUGCCAAGCCGCGAGGUGGAGCCCAUCCCAGAAAAACCGAUCGUAGUCCGGAUCGCAGUCUGCAACUCGACUGCGUGGAGCUGGAAUCGCUAGUAAUCGCGGAUCAGCAUGCCCCCGGUGAAUACGUUCCCCGGUCUUGUACACACGCAAAA